AGAGAGCCAGUCACUCACUCCUCACUCUCUCUCACUCCUCGCCUGCGUUGUGGUGGUGGUGGUGGUUGUGGUAGCAGUGGUAGUUAUGAAGAUUUCUGUGGUGACCGUUCUUCUCGUUCUCCUGUGUGCUGUCUACGUGCAGUCACGAGGGUGUUCGAAAGAUGAAGUGGGCGUGUCUUGUAGAAUUAAAGAAGAACACACACAGAAAGCAAAAUACAGAGA
Molecule: long non-coding RNA, 222 nt
Organism: Portunus trituberculatus (swimming crab)
Lineage: Eukaryota; Metazoa; Arthropoda; Malacostraca; Decapoda; Portunidae
Exons: 3
Source: RefSeq, a predicted model, not a curated record